UGAUGGCAUUUCCGCUAUUGUUGUUGUUUAGGUACCUACCAUUCUAUAAACAAAUAAAGGCUCUGCUCCACCAUCAAAGGAGGUGCACUCCAAAUUCCAGAGAGUGUAACAAAAUAGCCCUGGACUGAGGAGGGAAGAAGCUGGAAAGGACUCUAGAUUCUAAUUGGGAAAAGGAAGUUGAGAGGCUGUAAUGUGACCUGAAAGAAAAGCUGUUCCUGUGACACCUCCAGACCACAAAGGUUUAGACAAAGUUUUUGGAGUACUUAUGCGAACUCAAACUGUUGUGUGCAGCUUGCCAUUCCACAGAUUUUUGAAGCUGAUGGUUUGGGAGCUGGUUGCAAAUUGGGCAAAAGUGAGGAUUACCUAACGCGGGAUCCAUGGAUCAGGAGUUGUUGCUGACAUGGCCAAAUUACCUUUGGCGGUACAGUGCCUGUAUGAGCUGUUUGACAUAAAGAUGUUUAACAGAAAGCAACCAGAAGAGUUGGAGCUGAGAGGGCAAGGGGCCUGUCUGAUCAGGCACCGAUUGAUCACCAGAAGACUUCCCCCUUUGCGAGUGGUUGUGUGACAGAAGUUUGAUUCAUCAUCUGUGCUAUGCAGAUGG
Molecule: long non-coding RNA, 601 nt
Filed under: Dromaius novaehollandiae (emu)
Lineage: Eukaryota; Metazoa; Chordata; Aves; Casuariiformes; Dromaiidae
Description: lncRNA (ENSDNVG00000017877.1)
Source: RNAcentral